This 995-nucleotide long non-coding RNA is filed under the name Phoenix dactylifera (date palm). RNAcentral describes it as "long non-coding RNA (PDAC_LNC001618)". The record is from RNAcentral. Lineage: Eukaryota; Viridiplantae; Streptophyta; Magnoliopsida; Arecales; Arecaceae.
AAAAGCUCGGUUGGUGUCAUGAGAAGAAACAAGGUAGAUAUGGCUGGUUCGGGCUAUCUCAAGCGCAUGGGAGCUCUACAAGCUAUGGUGAUCUUCGUACUUUGUUGCUUCUCAAGCUUAGCAAGAUCUGUGACCCAGACGAAGGAAGAGCUUUACAUUAACCAUAUCUCCGCCACCUCACAAGGAAUAGAAGAACUGAGACCUCUGCCUCCACACAUGAGAUUUCCGAUGCUGCCAAGAGGCAUACCUAUCCCUCCAUCCGGGCCUUCCAAAAGUAGCCCACCUGAGGGUCCACCCGCACGCAUAAGAUUUCCGAUGCUGCCAAGAGGCGUACCUAUCCCUCCAUCCGGGCCUUCCAAAGGUAGCCCACCUAAGGGUCCACCCGCACGCAUGAAAUUUCCGAUGCUACCAAGAGGCGUGCCCAUCCCUCCAUCCGGGCCUUCCAAAGGUAGCCCACCUGAGGGUCNNNNNNNNNNNNNNNNNNNNGGUCCACCCGCACGCAUGAGAUUUCCGAUGUUGCCAAGAGGCGUGCCCAUCCCUCCAUCCGGGCCUUUCAAAGGUAGCCCACCCGAAGGUCCACCCGCACGCAUGAGAUUUCCGAUGCUGCCAAGAGGCGUGCCCAUCCCUCCAUCCGGGCCUUCCAAAGGUAGCCCACCCGAGGGUCCACCCGCACGCAUGAGAUUUCCGAUGCUGCCAAGAGGCACACCCAUCCCUCCAUCCGGGCCUUCCAAAGGUAGCCCACCUAAGGGUCCACCCGCACGGGCCUUCCGCAAAUAGCCCAUCCGAGGGUCCUGAUCCCAUCGCCUUGGUGCGUGUACCAAGGAGGCCUUCUUUUCAUCCCUAAACGUCAUGGAGUCGGCCUCCUUCCAUUGCAUCCAGCAUAAUAAGAUUUGCUAUGUCACUAACGGGGGGCCAACCCAAAAUAAGUUUUCAAGAAUGCAUUAAUAUAAAUAAAAGGUCAUAUUCUUAAUAUAUUGUCAUGGCCGUGAUCCAUU